AGCGAACGCUGGCGGCAGGCUUAACACAUGCAAGUCGAGCGGGCACUUUCGGGUGUCAGCGGCGGACGGGUGGGAACCGGGGGGAAAGUGCCCUCCGGUUUGGGAAUAACCCGGGGAAACUUGGGCAAAAACCGAAAAGGCCCUUUGGGGAAAGGCUUGCUGCCGGAGGAUCGGCCCGGGUCUGAUUAGCCAGUUGGUGGGGUAAAGGCUCACCAAGGCGACGAUCAGUAGCUGGUCUGAGAGGAUGAUCAGCCACACUGGGACUGAGACACGGCCCAGACUCCUACGGGAGGCAGCAGUGGGGAAUAUUGGACAAUGGGCGCAAGCCUGAUCCAGCCAUGCCGCGUGAGUGAUCAAGGCCUUAGGGUUGUAAAGCUCUUUUAUCCGGGACGAUAAUGACGGUACCGGAGGAAUAAGCCCCGGCUAACUUCGUG
Molecule: ribosomal RNA, 434 nt
Filed under: uncultured bacterium
Lineage: Bacteria
Description: partial 16S ribosomal RNA
Rfam family: Bacterial small subunit ribosomal RNA
Source: RNAcentral